GACGAACGCUGGCGGCGUGCUUAACACAUGCAAGUCGAGCGGAAAGGCCCUGCUUGCCGGGUACUCGAGUGGCGAACGGGUGAGUAACACGUGGGUGAUCUGCCCUGCACUUCGGGAUAAGCCUGGGAAACUGGGUCUAAUACCGGAUAUGACCUUCCAUGUAGUGUGGGGGGUGGAAAGAUUUAUCGGUGUGGGAUGAGCCCGCGGCCUAUCAGCUUGUUGGUGGGGUAAUGGCCUACCAAGGCGUCGACGGGUAGCCGGCCUGAGAGGGUGGACGGCCACAUUGGGACUGAGAUACGGCCCAGACUCCUACGGGAGGCAGCAGUGGGGAAUAUUGCACAAUGGGCGGAAGCCUGAUGCAGCGACGCCGCGUGGGGGAUGACGGCCUUCGGGUUGUAAACCUCUUUCGACAGGGACGAAGCUUCGGUGACGGUACCUGUAGAAGAAGCACCGGCUAACUACGUG
RNAcentral lists this ribosomal RNA (465 nucleotides) under uncultured bacterium. Its description in RNAcentral is "partial 16S ribosomal RNA". It matches the Rfam family "Bacterial small subunit ribosomal RNA", at positions 28 to 507 of the family's 1533-position model. The record is from RNAcentral.